GUGCUUGCUUCAGCAGCACAUAUACUAAGUUUGGAAUGAUACAAAGAAGAUUAGCACGGCCCCUGCACAAAGAGGACAAGCAAAUUCAUGAAACAUAUAUUGGUAGU
Molecule: small nuclear RNA, 107 nt
Organism: Gracilinanus agilis (Agile Gracile Mouse Opossum)
Lineage: Eukaryota; Metazoa; Chordata; Mammalia; Didelphimorphia; Didelphidae
Source: RefSeq, a predicted model, not a curated record